RNAcentral lists this ribosomal RNA (448 nucleotides) under uncultured bacterium. Its description in RNAcentral is "partial 16S ribosomal RNA". It matches the Rfam family "Bacterial small subunit ribosomal RNA", at positions 355 to 795 of the family's 1533-position model. The record is from RNAcentral.
UAGGGAAUCUUCCACAAUGGACGAAAGUCUGAUGGAGCAACGCCGCGUGAGUGAUGAAGGGUUUCGGCUCGUAAAACUCUGUUGUUGGAGAAGAACGGUGUCAGAGUAACUGUUGACAUCGUGACGGUAUCCAACCAGAAAGCCACGGCUAACUACGUGCCAGCAGCCGCGGUAAUACGUAGGUGGCAAGCGUUGUCCGGAUUAUUGGGCGUAAAGCGAGCGCAGGCGGUUUUUUAGGUCUGAUGUGAAAGCCUUCGGCUUAACCGGAGAAGUGCAUCGGAAACCGGGAGACUUGAGUGCAGAAGAGGACAGUGGAACUCCAUGUGUAGCGGUGAAAUGCGUAGAUAUAUGGAAGAACACCAGUGGCGAAGGCGGCUGUCUGGUCUGCAACUGACGCUGAGGCUCGAAAGCAUGGGUAGCGAACAGGAUUAGAUACCCUUGGUGAGUC